AUACGGAGGGUGCAAGCGUUAUCCGGAUUCAUUGGGUUUAAAGGGUGCGCAGGCGGAUAAUUAAGUCAGUGGUGAAAUCCCGGGGCUCAACCCCGGAACUGCCAUUGAUACUGAUAAUCUGGAAUACGGUUGAAGUGGGCGGAAUGUAGCAUGUAGCGGUGAAAUGCAUAGAGAUGCUACAGAACACCGAUCGCGAAGGCAGCUCACUAAACCGAUAUCGACGCUCAGGCACGAAAGCGUGGGGAGCGAACAGGAUUAGAUACCCUAGUAGUCC
Molecule: ribosomal RNA, 274 nt
Filed under: uncultured bacterium
Lineage: Bacteria
Description: partial 16S ribosomal RNA
Rfam family: Bacterial small subunit ribosomal RNA
Source: RNAcentral